GGUGGGGAUGACGUCAAGUCAUCAUGCCCUUAUGUCCAGGGCUUCACGCAUGCUACAAUGGCCGGUACAAAGAGUUCGACCUGUGAGGGUGAGCGAAUCUCAAAAAGCCGGUCUCAGUUCGGAUUGGGGUCUGCAACUCGACCCCAUGAAGUCGGAGUCGCUAGUAAUCGCAGAUCAGCAACGCUGCGGUGAAUACGUUCCGGGGCUUGUACACACCGCCCGUCAAGUCAUGAAAGUCGGUAACACCCGAAGCCGGUGGCCUAACCCGUUUGGGGGGGAGCUGUCGAAGGUGGGACUGGUAAUUAGGACU
Molecule: ribosomal RNA, 310 nt
Filed under: uncultured bacterium
Lineage: Bacteria
Description: bacterial SSU rRNA
Rfam family: Bacterial small subunit ribosomal RNA
Source: RNAcentral